GCCUGGCCACCAAUCACACUUCCACCUGCACCAACAGCUGGUCUAAAACCAGAACACGUGGGUCACAACCUGACCGCCCCACUAACUGUGAUCACUCACCGUGGGGACAUGUGGGAGGGGCAGGUUUGUUUCGACCUGAAGGAUGAGAUUGUGGCGUGGGAGCUGGUUCUGGACUUCACUUCGGAUGUGAAGGGAAUCUCCACGUCAGAGGGGGAUGUGUUGGGAGACUCGUCGUCGUGCGGCAAGCGCUUCGUCAUGGUCAACCACGACUACAUGGGUAUCCACUAUGGAGGAGCUCAGUACUGUAUCAAAGAUGUCUGGCAA
This is a long non-coding RNA of Haliotis rubra (blacklip abalone), 324 nucleotides long. RefSeq lists it as uncharacterized. Lineage: Eukaryota; Metazoa; Mollusca; Gastropoda; Lepetellida; Haliotidae. The transcript has 3 exons. The record is from RefSeq and is a predicted model, not a curated record.